GCAUAGCCGAUCCGAGACUGUUCGAAAAUAUUCGAGAUUGUUGAUUCCAGUUACCUGCUCGGAAAGGGAAUCGUCAGCUACUCGUCACACUAUCUAUCAUUUUGGGGUACUACUAUAUUUUGGAGCUAGUAUGGCAUGUAUGGAAUAGAUAAACGAAUGAUAUUUUGAGACGUACUUAUAUAUAAGCCAUGUGAAUAUGGUACUUUUGAAUGUCGAUACAA
Molecule: long non-coding RNA, 221 nt
Organism: Gossypium arboreum
Lineage: Eukaryota; Viridiplantae; Streptophyta; Magnoliopsida; Malvales; Malvaceae
Exons: 2
Source: RefSeq, a predicted model, not a curated record